RNAcentral lists this ribosomal RNA (253 nucleotides) under uncultured bacterium. RNAcentral's name for it is "partial 16S ribosomal RNA". It matches the Rfam family "Bacterial small subunit ribosomal RNA", at positions 524 to 776 of the family's 1533-position model. The record is from RNAcentral.
UACAGAGGGUGCGAGCGUUAAUCGGAAUUACUGGGCGUAAAGGGCGCGUAGGCGGCUUUGCAAGUCGGGUGUGAAAUCCCCAGGCUUAACCUGGGAACUGCAUUCGAGACUGCAUUGCUAUAGUAUGGGAGAGGGAAGUGGAAUUUCCGGUGUAGCGGUGAAAUGCGUAGAUAUCGGUAGGAACAUCAGUGGCGAAAGCGACUUCCUGGACCAAUACUGACGCUCAUGUGCGAAAGCGUGGGGAGCAAACAGG